This 29884-nucleotide long non-coding RNA is filed under the name Triticum aestivum (bread wheat). Its description in RNAcentral is "long non-coding RNA (TAES_LNC006761)". The record is from RNAcentral. Lineage: Eukaryota; Viridiplantae; Streptophyta; Magnoliopsida; Poales; Poaceae.
AAACCCUGAGAACUGAUAUUAUUUAUUUUAUUAUGAUACUCCUGGACAUCUGAAUACAUAGUUCAUUCCAAAACAGCCCAUCUACCGUGGACUGGACACUGAGAGUGUAAAGAGCGAUGGUGAUGAUUCUGGAGAUUGUGUUAGGGUGUCGUCAAGUUUCACAAGCUCAUCAUACACCCCACCAGCCACCACCUUGCUCUGGACCUGACAAGAGAAGAAGGAUAACAAGAUCUGAUGCUGGAAGCCUGGAAGUGAUAUAUCUAAAGAACCAUACUCAGAAUUUGUGACCUCACCAAGAUAUUCAUCUUCAUCAUGUUGCAGUGAUAAUGACAGUAGCAAGCCACUGGUGGAGCCUAGCACAUACAAGGAUGUGUUGAUCUUGUUCUGAUUCAACGAUCAUGAUCUGCCGUUCAGACUAAAGGAAGUUAUACUGUCUGAUCGUUCUUGAUCCCUUCCUUCGCGUUCACGACCGUCGGGAUGACUCCAUUGACGAGACGUUCGCAUUGACCACCGCCCCUGCACGAUGUUUAGUCUCUAGGCUGUAGUGUGUUAAACGGACGAGAAAUCUGAGCAUCUCCACUUGUCCAGGUUUCUCCACUGCAUAUUCUGCACGCCCCUGCACCUAAUGCCUUCCAUAGCUAUGCUAACCCACAGCAGCAAUCAGCAAGGUUAGCCCCCCUUUGUCAGUGUUUUUGUUUGUAUAUUGUCCUUCUGUUCUGAUGUGGAUGGGUGGAAGCAUGUAUUUCUGAUGCAUGUAUACGUUUUAAGAAGGGAUGUUGAUAGAAGACUCCUAUUAUGCAUGUACCUAUUUUCUUAAAAGCUUCCAAUGUCUGUCAUGUCAAUUAUGUGGGCUGACCAAGAUGAUUGUCUUUUAUAGCUUAUAUAUAUACUAUGCAUUUUUUCUUUCAUUUUUUUGCUUGUGUGUUCAUUGGAUUAUUUUAUGAGCUGAUAUUCACUUAAAUAAUAAGGAAUUCCAUGCAAAAUUCCACGGAGCAUAAUCUUGAUUGCCCAUUGAGGAAGAAAUUUAAGCUAACGGCACUACUAAUGGGUGGCACUGCUGGAAGAAAUUUAAGCAUAUAAUUUUGUACAUGACCAAUGAUGAUUUUGUUGUAGCGUCUUCGGUGCAUAUAACCCUUGAGCUAGGCAAUCAGAUGGAUGUCCUGGAUUUAUGAUAGUUUUUGUCAGCAUUUAUUUUUAUUGGCAAUAACAGUUGUAAUAUACACUCUGCUUUAAGGAAAACAUUUUGGUGUUAAGAUUGCACUUUUGAAUGUUGGUUAAAUGGCAUUGAUAUUUGUGUGUGAUAUAUUCCAUUUUAGUAGUCAUUAGGGUGAGUAUCUGCAGUACAUAAUCAAGUCUUAGAAAUUCCAUAAUACCUUAUCAACGCCAUUAGCAUCUUUACACAAGCCUUUGGUUAGCGACCUCAUCUGUGAAUCAUCCGUUGAUUUAACUAUUUCUUGAUUUAAUUUUUCUCAGCCUUGAGUUGUCGAUUGAUCAUAUCAUGAUAUUGACUGUAUCCAUUGAUUACUUUUUUCCAUCUUUAGUUAUCACCUAUUUACAUCAUGAUAUUAAGGACCUGAAUUUUUGGGACAUGCGGCCACGCGAUGCCGUAAUCUGAGACGUCCCGCUGCGCAUCAAGAUGGCUACUUAAUAUAGGCCCAUUUGUAAUACCUGACGCGUUAAUCACGGACCUACUUGAAUACGUCGCGUUAUACAUCAGAAGAGUGGGCCAGACGCUAUUAAUGCUCGUAUGAAUGCAUGCUCAUCUGGUAGCAGCCCUCAUCACAGGGGAUGGCAUAACGGAUCUUGAUGGUGGGCAGACAUCAUUAAGAAUGCCCCUCGCUCCAACCCUUGCCCUGUGGAAAAGCAGAUGGAGAAGAGGAGAUGGCUUUUGCAGAAACGGAGUUUAACAGGUUAGCCGGUUAAAACUACGAAACUGCUGUGUGGACGACAAUAGCCGAACGAACUGCGCACGAUGGAGUAUUUAACGGUGUAGGUUCACUUUGAAUCGACGCAUGGACGGGUUGAUGUGCUUCAUCGUGCGGAGAUCGUCCACAACCGUCGUGUGUGUAGCAGCACUCUUAAAACUAUACUUGAUCUGUGGUUUUCGGUUUCUUUUGGGUACGAUUCAACGAGCCCACCUAUAAUCAUCUCUCUGUUGCCUCAACCCCUAGCAUGUCUUUUUGGGCAACUUAUGGAUCUGGGUGCUUAAGUGGAACGUGGGAGAUGCCUGUUUACAUCUCAUGUGUUAGAAUUUUCCAGCCCGGUCUCACAUGUCUUUCUUUUGCUCGAUUAGUGCAGGAAAAGCAAAGCAGAUGCCUGACGAGCGAACAACAAGUGCUGAAAGAUCAACCACCCUGGAAACGGCCCUAACCUGAGUUUCAAAAAUAAUGAUGGCACUCAUUUAAAAUACACCCCACUCCUUUGAAAAAACAGAUUCCGCUCAUUUCACUUAAUUCGAACAAAUAAUUACAAUUAUUUUCAAAGGAAAAAAAAUCAUUCGUUUAGAACAACAUAUUUCACUCUUUAAAAAAAAAGACUCCACUCGUUCACUUGAUUCAAACAAAUGUUUUCAAUAAUUUAUUUAGAAGGAUGUACUUCAUUCCUUUAUUUCGCUCCUUUAAGAAAAAUAGAUUCCACUCUGAUAUUCACUUCGGGGUCAGGCCCAUCUGCACCCAGUGAACAGUAAAAAUAAAAUAAAAAUAAAAAAAUAAAAAAAUCUGAUUUUUUAUCUAAGAUGCUUUGAGUGCGCCAGAUGAAUGCAACCUUUCAUGGCUAAACUAUAUUCCAGGAGCUCAUGGCAAAAAAGACAAAGUGAGCUUCAAACAGUGUUGUUUUCAAAUAUUUCUCAUUGAUCCGAAAUUUGUCUCUUUUGCCGAGAGCUACUAAAACGUCCUAACUACACGAAAUUUAGCACGGACUUCACGCAUACAAGCAUCUGGUAUCACAAGAAAAAAAAAAUCAUUUUUUUACUAUUUUUAAUUAUUUUACUAUUCACCCACGGUUGCAGAUGCACCCGAGAGCCAAAACGCCGCUCCCAUUCCACUCAUUUCACAUGAUUCAAACAAAUAUUUUCAAUCAUUAAAAAACAAUUACACUCGUUUAAAAUAGCAUACUCCAUACAUCACUCAUUUCAAAAUACAGAUUCCACUCAUUUCACUCAAUUCAAAUGAAUAAUUUCAAUGAUUUUUGAAAAGAAUGAUUUUAUUCGUUUAGAACAACAUAGUUCACUUGUUUAUUCCACCCUCCUUUACAAAAAUAGAUUCCACUUGUUUGACUCAAUUCAAACUAAUAAUUUCAAUUAUUUUCAACAAAAAUGAUUUCACUCGUUUCACAAAAUAGAUUACACUCGUUUCAGUCAAUUGAAAAUGAAUAAUUUCAAUCAUUUUCAAAAUACAGUGAUUUCACUCAUCUAAAACAAGAUAUUGCACUAUUUUAUUUCACUCGUUUCAAAAGGCAGAUUGAAAAUAUUCGCUAUGUACCGGUACCUGUGCACUCAUUAAAAAAUCCACUCUUCUAAAAAAAUAAUUUUACUAAAAUAAACUUCAACUACUCAAGAAAACAUGUUUCGCUCAUUUCAAAAGAAUAAGGUCGCUACAAUCAAAAUCAGAUUUCACUUGUAAGUGUUGUUCUAAGCAGUUACACUGAAAUAGGUUGAGCGAAAUAAGUGAAUUUAAACAUGUUUGAAAUGUAUCCUAGAUUAGUCUUGUUCUAAGCUACCCAAAAAUGUGUGUUAGGUUGUUCUAAAGAUCACCGUCAUAAUCGUUGGCAUAUGGUUUUUGGAAGAAAAAAAGUGGCUUAAGCAAUCGAACUGGCCAAUAGGAGGAUGGUUUCCAUUGAUCAUCGGUAAUGUUGGCUAACACUUGCAGUACAUUGUAUUGAGAGACGAUAAAUGUUUAUGUCAGAAUAUUUAGACAAGCUUGUUUAAUGAGAAGUUACUCUAGUCUCUAGCCAGUCCAACUAACCCAAGGGGUUUCCGCUGGGUGAUGUCAAACAUAAACGGCCCUGAACUGUUUCCAUUAAAACUUCAUGGGUGACUUAAUGAGCUGCAGCUGAGGGGGUCCUGGUAUUGCAGGCCCGACUUAAUUGACGUAUGCUCAAAUGCACUGCUCGUUUGAAUGCCCGACCCUGCCUUGUGGGCCAUCUCUUGGCGAGGGCGUAGGUAAUAUGAAUGCAUAAUGCCUUGUAUACAACACAUCAAUCUCAGUAUACAUGCUACUCGUAUUUGGACUACACGAAUCACGUGGGAAUGAGCGGGCCUGAUACCGACCGCGCGUGGCACCAUGUCCACUUGUGAUUAUUCGAUGAUAUUAAGAACAAUUUUAGGAUUGCAUGUCCAUGGACUCGACACAAUUCAAUGAUGCUUUUCAAUUAUAACUAGAUUUAAUCUAUUCUUUUUACAACCUAUGAAAAUAUUGAACGAAUGAAAUAAUGUAUAUAUUGUUUGCAUGACCACAAUACUCCAACUUUUCAAAAUACAACUUGGGCAACAUCACAACACUGUGUAUCCAUUUAAUUUAUAUAUUUUGAAACAUUUUUAUGCAUUUAAUUUAUAAUUUUCAAACAUUUAGUAUUUUGAACCAUUUGUAUGUAUAUUGGUUUGAAUUUCGAUUGAACAAUGUUUGAGACGUGUAUUGCACGUGCAAGCUUACUAGUACUAUUAAAUCUUGAGGAAAGAAAAAGGUCGCACCCAGCACGUCACUGUCAAGCACCCGUUCGCGGCGGAAUCUAGAUCCGCCGGAAGUACCAUCCCAUAUUCCCAUAUGCAUAUGCCCUACACUGCAGGACGCCGGACAUGUCAACUCCCACGUUCCUUCCAUCUUCGAAUCGAAGGCAAAGAACAGCGAAAGUGCUAUUCUGUGCCCGAGCACAAGCACUCUCGAUAUCUUUCCCGUCGGUGCUCCUCGAGAUCACCAAUCACAUGCGUAUAGGCCCAAGUAUUGACAUCGUAUUUAUGUUUUCCAACAGGGCCCAUGGCCCACAUAUGACCAGCAGGCAGCAUGCCGGCGUCAGCCACGUUACCAGCGGCUCGGAUGUGGCUCAACGAUAUGGGCCAUGAAAGGACAGAUUCUGGACUAACAGGACGAGGAAUUUAUUGCCUCCCACCGCUGCAUGACUUAGUCUAAAAAGAAACAAUCUUCCCUUGCACGCCUCGUGUCCUCCCCUACCAGCUAAAUCAAUCUUCGCACAAUAUCAGCUAAUCCUCUGCACCAGCACUGUCGCACCAAAGUCUAAAUAUGAAAGUAUCUCAAACAAACCCACGUUCUUAAAAAAAGGGGAAAAGGAAGCCAUGUUAAAUAUGAAAAUGCAACCUUAGAAAACCACCUAAAAUAUUUUAGUUUUUGAGCAAGUAACGUUUCACUUUUAAGGCGAUAAGCGACAUUGAUGGCACAAGCACACAUGCAAUACAUGGGCAACGAAAUAAAUAUACGAGUAAUGUUUAUUGACCAAAGGUUAUUUGCUUUUCGUGCAAUUUUUUUUUGUUAAAGUGGGAAUAUGCAUACGUUACAUAGGUCUCUUUGGAUCACAUCAUUUUGAAACACAUGAAAAUAAGUAAAAACACAGGAUUGUGAUGUCAAGACAUUUCCAAUCGUAUUGGGAAACAAAAUCUCAGGAAUUGAGAUAAACAGCCUUUGGCUGCACCACAGGAAAGGUACAAGAAUUCUAGAAUUUGAGUUUAGGGUUUCCAAACUUCUAGUAGUGCCUAGCAUAUUCAAGUUCAUCAAAUUUCUUAUGAUGCACAUAUAUAAGUGCGCCGUCGCUCACACAAAUUACACUGAUGGACCAUCUGCAUGUUAGAGGCGGGUUCUGAGAUUGCAAAAGAGUUUGAUGGCAGCUGCCAAACAUACUAGUGCCAAGCUCCGAAGGUUUAUUGAACAUGUCAUCUAACACAUGGAUCCAGUUCUUGUUUCCUGACUCCAUGGAUGAAUAUAAUUUCAGGUUUAGAUUUCUGAAACAUCAGUAAACAAAUCAGUAAAUAGGUGGAAGAGCAAGAAUACAACAAAUUACAGAAAAACAAUGGGUGGCCCUAUAAAUACCAUCGCCUACUAGCCUAAAGAAGCUUCGCUUCAUCCACAAACACAUGAAGCCAUGAACACAUCCAUACCCAGUGGCGGAGCUACAUGCAAUGCUGAGGGGGCCAUUGCCCCCCCCCCCAGCUGUAGCAUAUUUUCUCAAGGAAAAAAAUUAAGAGCCUUAAAAUAAAAAGAUUGUUNNNNNNNNNNNNNNNNNNNNNNNNNNNNNNNNNNNNNNNNNNNNNNNNNNNNNNNNNNNNNNNNNNNNNNNNNNNNNNNNNNNNNNNNNNNNNNNNNNNNNNNNNNNNNNNNNNNNNNNNNNNNNNNNNNNNNNNNNNNNNNNNNNNNNNNNNNNNNNNNNNNNNNNNNNNNNNNNNNNNNCCGCUAGCUCCGACACUGUCCAUACCCAACAUAAAGGGAUAAACCAGAAACAGGGUUGCAAUGGUUAUAAAGUCACCAAAUCCAGAUUUGGUUUGAAGUCCAAGAUCCAUAUAUGAACAAAAAUCUAAAGCUUCAAAUAAGCUAGAACAACAUGUGACGAUGUGACGUAUGGGACGUUCGAUUCAACCAAAUAAUCUGCUAAAAAAUCAAAAGAUUCAAAUAUUAACUUUGUAAGCAAAGCAGCCAAAAUCUGUAAAAAUAUGAUACAGUUUUGCAUCAGGCCCUCUGCUUCAAACAAACAUAAAAAAUCAUGCUUAGUGUGACAGAAAACAAUCUGGGAAGAAGAGAAAAGGCAUGCUACUCAUGAUUCAUUUCAUAACAAAAUUGAUAAGGUGAUGGAAAUGGCUAAGACAGAUUGAACGACGAGUUCGCUUCAAACAGACAGCAAAAAACUGCAGGUUCUGCAAAUCAUGUUUACAAAAAAUGUACUCCUAAGCAUCCAAUUUUUUAAAAUGCCUCUGCAAAUAUUCCCUCAAGGAACCAGUAUCUUGUGAGCCCACACUUCUACUCACCAAACUAUUUAGCUGCUAAACCAGAAAAAAAAUGUUUUGACUAGCACCUUGUUCUGUUCUAUUAAACUUAAAACAUCUGCCAAAUCUGCAGACCUGCAUUUGUGGUACAUCAGUACUUCCUCUGUAAAUAUAAGAUCUUUUAGAUCACUAGAGUGAUCUAAAAGAUCUUUUGAGAUCACUACUAAAAGAUUUUUUUAGAUCACUACUAGUGAUCAUUUCUUAAAUGCAAAGUUCCUACUCACCACCCUAUUAAGCUGCUAAUCAGAAUUUACAACAUAAUUGACAACCAAGUAGUUUUCAUCAAUAAUGCACUGUGGAAGAACAAUCUUAAUUACUUCCUUGCGACUACCAGACUCUAUCCAAAUUAUCUGAACAGGGACCAAAUUUCUACAAAUGUACUAUAUACCAAUUAUCACCUACGAUUUUUACAUCUCUAUUAAUGUUAGUAUGUUGCGCACUAACCUCUUAGCCCACGAUGGACCUUGAGGGUUGACCUUACCUAUACACAGCCACGACACCUGCAGCGAGUUGCCCCUUCUGCGCGUGCAAAACAGAAAAAGAUCACGAUAUACUUACGAAUCGACAUACCUCCUGAUUGAUUAGUUGCAUUAGGAACUUCAUUGCUGGCGGCCGCCUCUGCUUCCUAUCCCUCUUUCUCACUCCUCCGCUUCCAAAUGCCGUCCACGGUGGGGCCUUUGGGGGAGAAGAGCCAGAUUUCCAUUUCAUAUUAAGCUACCAAACAACUACAUCAAUUCUAUCUCUUGAAACUCUCAUGCUUACCACUCAUUGACUCAUCCUGGGCCACGGCUCGACUAGUUUGUCGUACACGACCGCUUCUCCUCCGUCUACUUCCAGGACCACAAGCCCAGACGUAUUUCUUCGUUUGCUAUUUUGCUUCGUUACAAACGCUCGCGUAUGUGGCACAUACAUUAAGGACGUGUUUGGUUUCUUGUGUGGCACCUGCCUCGCACCCGCCAUGCAAAAUCUAGUGCGUUUGGUGGCAUGUGUGGCCUCCUCAGCCUGGCCCAAUCGAUGCAAAAGGAGGCCUCUCAGCCAGGCUGAGGGGCACGCAGGAAUCGGCCGUAUCUCCGAGCCAGGCUCGCACCUGCAACCGCAACUCUCAUCCCGUGUCUCCCUUUCCUCCUCUCUCACACAUCAGAUUGAAUCGAGUAACCCAUUGCCGCCGCCGCCGCCUGAGCUCCCUCGUCCACAGCAGUCCGGGCUCUCUAGUAGGCACUCCUCCAUGUCCACGCCGAGGGACACGUCGCCCGACGCCGACCGAGCUCCGUUGCUGGUGCUCCUCCAUGCCCACGUCGUCCCCCACCAGUCCGGGCUCCCUAGCCAGCGCUCCUCCACGCCCACGCCGGGGGACACGCCGCCCAUCGCCGGUCGAGUUCCCUCGCUGGUGCUCCUCCAUGCUCACGCCGGGGGACAUGCCGUCCACCACAGAUCCAGAGGAAGAAGGGGAGAGGGGAGCACCUGCGCGCUGCGAGGCGCAACCGGCGCCGCGUUUCUCCCCCUCUCUCCCCUUGAGUUUAGUUCAGAUUUCAGUUCAGCCUUCUUUUACAUGUUCCAUGGAAUGAUCCAGAUCCAAUUGACAUUGUUGAAAUUGGAAGAGAAAGGUUCACAAAAUUAAGCUCAAAUGCAGUCUACCAAACAACAUCUAUUGUAUAUAGCAUCUCUCAUGCAACAAUAUUAUACAGUGCACCAAACAUACAUCUCAACCAAUUUCUGCAUCAGCUCAACCAGACCACGCUCACCCAGAAUCCCUCAUGCGAUGCAGGCUAAAGCCACCCAGGUAACCAAACACGCCUUAAAUGCAUCGCAUCCAGAGACGCAAAACAGCGGCCCAGAUAACGAGCACAUGUGUGCUCGUGACCAGAAGCACCGCGUCCAAAGAACAGCAACAGAUCAUCACGGAAUAAAGCACUCCUCUACUACCACCACCACCAGUACUAAAGUCGAUAGAAAAUUCAGAGCUCCCCCGUGGUUCGCCUACACGUCAAACUCCAAGUCGGCGCCUCCCUCCCUCACCUUCCGCGUCCCCCUUUCUCCCCUUCCUACGGCUUCUCCUCCCCCUCUUCAGUCUUCACCCCUGCCCACCCUCGCAGAUCUCGCCAUUCCCUGCCACGCCGCCGGCCGCCCGCCCGCGCGCCCCGUUCCGGCGGAAGGUUUCCGCCUCUCCCACAGCCUCCCCGGAGAGCCGGAGGGGCCUGCGCCUAUCCGACGGACGGCACGGCUCCUCUCUCCCCUGCCGCCCCCACCGGCCGCGAUACGGGCUGUCGAUCCUCGGUGAGCGCCUCUGCUCGAUCCGGUCAGCUUCGGCUCUCGUGGACCAUGGACCCCGUCGCCUGCCAGACUGCUGUCGCGCUGAUGCAGCGGCGAGGCCGAUUCUGAUUCUGCUGCCGUGCGCAGGGUUCGUUCGAAGACGCAGGCGCCUGUGCGACCGAGUGCGCGCGCGGAGGGUCAGGGUCGGCGCCGAGAUGAAGGGCGUGUCGGCCAUCCCCGCCGUGGCGAUCAUCCCUUCGCCGCUCUUCCUCUGGCGGGUCAAGGUAGCCUUCGCAGCAUUUCCACGGGCGCUACAUGCUUAAUGUACUUUCUGAUGUGUAGUAAGUGUGCUCCGUGCGGCCGCCGUUAUGCGCAUUGUCUGCAGCGGAUGCCAUGUUUGUAAGGAAAUUAAGUGAUAAGCCAACGAAUCUGAUGCCCCCCUCAUUGCAUAAACUUUGUAAUAGCGACAAAAAAUCAUGCCAUGUCUAAAUCUCUGCUACUCUAGGAUACGUCUUUGUUUUCCACGAUACUUGGAACAGUAGAACACCUGAACACUACUAUGGUGUUAGCGUCUCGAUAUUUUCGCAGUACAUGCCUAGGAGAAGCCUUCUAGCUUAGUCACAAAAGAUGAAGCGGCCUUUUAGCAUCGCCAUUUUCAGUUGGAGCUGCUGCUUUUUUUACUGAUUUACCCUGUAAUUUCCUCCAAGAGACACUAACAUAUUUACCUGUCCAUAUCUAAUUCUAUUCUGUGGCAUCAUGUAUUUUAUUGGUUCUUUUUUUGCUGUAACCACUAACCAAUUGUACUCAAAUUACCCUGUUCUCUUGAUUUCUCAUCUGCCAGAUCUACAUUUUACUUCUCAAAUUGCUUAUGAGUGUGUCCCUUUUCCAGGUUAUAUUGUUUCUCCUAUGGGGCUUGUGCUGUUGCAAGGUCAGUGUUGCUCUAUUAAUCACUUUUGUACUGUAUGAAUUGAGCUUCAUGUAAUUGUUAAUUGAUUAUGCUCUUGGAACUGCAGAUAGGGUGGGACUCAGUUAUGAGAAUGAGUGUUGAUCUGCGAGACUUAUUUCUAUACGAGGCUUUCUUAUACUAUAAUCCUCUUCUUCUGGUGGUGAGUUUCUUUUUGUUGUUGCACUUGUGGCAUACUCAACUCUUAGUAACCGCCUAUGCAGAAAAUUUACUCAUGCAUGUAAUUGUGCUUUGUGUUCCUAUUGUAGGCACUGAUGAUUUGGUUAUGGGGAGUAAAUUUGUGGGUUUUCGCACAAUCAUCAGUAAAUUAUGCGAAGGUGUUUGAUCUUUCGCAGACACAUUUAUCACACCGAGAAAUAUGGAGGGUAUGCCUAUUUAUCUUGUUUGCGAUAUCCAUUUGAUCUCUUGUUUGAAUACAUUUACACUGACAUGCCUAUCCAUAGCCUAUAAGCUUUAUGGAGUAUUGCAAUGCAAUGUCUGCGGCAUAUGGUUGUUACGGUAGCCUGAAUUUUACCGAUGGUGGCAAAGCUCUCAACAAUUCUUUUAGUUCCCAGUCCAUUAUAUUUUUCUAGUACAACUGUACAUAACAUUUCUAAAGCAACCAUGUUUAUCUUGCUUUUAUAUGCAAGUAAUAUAUAUGAUCCGUACUUUAGUGUCUGGAGAACAUGUGUUGCCAGGGGAAUUAUUUCUGCAGUCGAGUACUGACGGGCUGGUGUUUUGAACUUGGCUCUCUUUUCUUUAAACUGUAUCUUGUUGUUGUCCUGUCCAUUUCUUUUAUGCUGACAUAAUAUUGUAUAAUUGUUCAUAUUACAUGUACUCUGGCAUAUCAUUCUGCUUAAGUACACUUAUUUUCCUCCAUUGGCAGUGUGCUACUUGGCUGACUUUAGUUGUUCCAACAAGUAUGACAGCUUACCUAUAUCUGUAUUCACAUGGUGAAGUGUCUCUUGCUGCAUCUCAACCAGUGUAAUAUCUUGAGCUCAUUAAGUUGUUAAUUCUAUGAUUUGCUCAUGGGACCUUUUGUUGUGUACAUUACGCUUGGUUAUACUUGUGGUGGUGCUUAUCAGUUAUCAGUAAUCAAAUUUGGACAUAAAUAUCCCCAGAGCUCUCCCAAGGAACAGUAUAAUGAUAAGAUAAUUGUUGACAUACUAAAACGAAUGUCUCAUUGUGUAUCUCUGGCUCUGUUGUGUUAAUUGAUGAAUUGAAACUUACAUCCUGUCGCAAGAUCAGAACAGUAGUAUAUUCAUUAUACAUUUUGCUAGCAAUGAAUGUUAAUGCAAGUGCCACUUUUACCUUAAAGUUAUGCCUAUUCUCCUGUAAUCGAACAAGUGGAAAUGCCCAUCUUAGUACAAUACUAUUAUAUGUUAAGCAUCAAUUGAUGUACAUGCAGACAUAGUUACGAAUGGUUUCUUUGUAACACUGAAGUGAUCUGAAGUUCUGUAUGAUGCACAAUCCACUUACUCCUGCUUCCCCUUAUAGAAACAAUAAAUCAUGCAAUUUAUUCUACUCUGAUUCAUUAUUACUUUUUAAAUGCUGGGUUAUGAAUUGACAUAUCAUUCUGCCUGUCUGCAGGUUCUUUUGUAUGUUAUCCUUCUGAUGAUCCUCCUUUCUCCUUUUGAUAUGUUUUAUUUAUCAUCACGCUUUUUCUUUCUGAGGACCAUGUGGCGUAUAGCACUUCCAUUACAAGUAAGUUGUAAAAAAUUUCAGUAAUGUUAGAUAGGUUUUGCUUUUAGCUAUGCUAUAGACAAAACAAAAUAUUUUGGUAUGUGGUGGCUAUUAUAUAUACCUGAUUGUCCUUGCUUGCGGAGCCAGUAAAUCUGAUCAAAUAACAUUUUGAAUUGAUUUAAUGUACUCUUGUUCCGCAGGCAAUUACAUUCCCUGACUUCUUUAUGGCGGAUAUUUUUACAUCCAUGUCAAAGGUAUGCUGUCAUUUUUUGUAAACAAUUGGAGACAGUUUGCAGUCAUUUAUUUAAAGUGUUUACUGUCCAUUGUUUUGUUUUAACUAAUUACUGCUAUAGAUAGUAUGACAUGGUUUUCUUGUUUAAUAUGUACUAUAUUAUUUUCUGUUCUCAUGUUAGCUGUAAUAUACUGUAGUUUCUGUAAGAAAAAUUAUCUCCUAACUACGUGAGCAUCUGCAAUAUACUAUUUCCUCGUUUUGUAGAGAACUGUUUCUAGCUUCUAGGCUGUCCUGAGUGGAGAUUUUCAGUUUGAUCUUUCUAAUAUGUUGCUCAAUUGCUGUAUUUGUUGCAGGUGUUUUCAGAUUUGGAACGUUCAGGUUGUCGCAUGGUCCAUCGUCAGGUUAAUCUCUUUGUUUCUCUUGUUCUAUGCACAUAUUGUCUUCUGCAGUAUCCAUACUGCUUGGUUUACUUGACGAUUGCAAAGUACUGCAAAAAGUAAUUGUUAUUAUGAAAUUUUACAGGUCGCGACAAUUGCUUGGUUUGAAGCAGAUUCAAUUUGUGGUAGCCACUCUGUAGCUAUUCCUCUAGUUCUGGUACUCCCUUAUUUGUGUCGUUUCUUCCAGUGUCUUCGACAGUACAAGGAUACAAGGGAGAAAACUUGUCUUCUGAACGGUAUUUACUCACCACCAUAUUUCAGCUCUAAUUUUUUAUUUCUUUUGAGAUGACAUACAUGUUUAAAAUGCUAGAAAUAGUACAAAUUGUAGCUUGUGAUCAUAUGUUUUUGUACCUAUUUCUGGACACUUACCAACAUUUUUGUACCAAAUCCAGCACUCAAGUACUCGACAGCAGUCCCCGUGAUCUUUUUAUCAGCUCUCAAGUAUCAUGUAUUUCCCGACGUAUGGAUUAGCUUUUACCGCCCCCUGUGGCUUAUUUCCAGUGUUGUGAAUUCAUUGUAUUCCUUCUACUGGGAUAUAAAGCGAGAUUGGGAUUUGAGGUGCCAUUCUCUACAAAAGUUUCCUUUCCACUCUGUCCUUGCGUAUCAAUUGUUGCUAAUGAGACUUCCUCUAUAAUUGCAGCAUUUUAACCAGGAUUUUCAUGUUCAAAAACCCAAAUGCAUGGAGCAAUCUUCUUUACGGGCGUAGCUGGGUAUACACUCUUUAACACUUACUCCCUCUGUUCCUAAAUAUAUGACAUUUUGGCAGUUCAAAUUGAGGGAGCACAUGAUUUUAGCUAGUACACCUUGUUAGUUUUGUGAACUAAUACUUUCCUGAUUGCUCUACAGGUAUUUUAUUGGGUGUUAGGUAGCAAUCUCAUUCUCCGAUGUACAUGGACAUACAAGCUAUCGGCGCAUCUGCGGCACAACUACCUGACAGUGUUUGCGAUAACAGCUUUGGAAAUGGUGAGGCGGUUCCAGUGGGUCUUUUUCCGCGUCGAGAAUGAGUGGAACAAGAUGACAGCCAAGCAAAAUUUUGAAAUGUCCUCUGAUAUGCUGCCUUCGGAAGCAGAUAGGCUACUGGAUUCUAACAGCCAUACAGUCUGACCCUACAUUCUAAACAGUCUUAUAGCGCGGUCCUUGCGAGGUUCUUUCUCGUAAUAUCUCUAGAGCUCAGAGGGCCAAUUAUACAGGAUAGGUUUACACACAAAAUGAAGUUGUUGGCACGUGUGCCCGUAUGUAACAGUCUUGAAUCCAGACAAUGAUAGUAAUACCAAAAACAAAUAAUGUUAUUUGGCACCUUUACAGAGACUAUCUGCCUAGCUGAUCUGCACAUCAACAAUCUGAGGUUGACGCUUUAUCCUUUUGGUUCUGUUCUCCUUGCAACUGUUCAAAUGCAGCUGCAAUCAUCUUGCGCAACAGUACAAUUAGCGCUUAUCCACAAGUGCAGUGCGUGGGAACUGUAUUUGUUUUCUUCAUCUCAGUGUUUGGUAGUAAUAAGUUGCAUUUGAACAGCACAUGCUCAAGAUUGAUUUGUAUCCAUUGGAACAACAGUCUAGAAACAACUUAGUUUAAUGGCUGUGGUUUUCCCAAUCAGUCUCUAUACCCACCCACAGGAUUUCUUAAGCAAGUUGCAACUUGGAUAAUGGAAUCCAAACCAAAAAUGGAGCCCUUGUCUGGGACAAAGAAGGGAGCUGAUUUUUAUUCUUGCCAUUACACCUGACAUUAUUACUCCCUAGGUAUAAAUAAUUUGAACAGAAACAGACUCGGUUACUCAUUUGCAUCCAUGCAAUAAUUAAGUGACUUACACACUGAAUUAGUACUCCUACUCUACCACAAAUACACAAACACAAGUAGUACAGUACAUUAUAAAGAAAAGCAUGGGACACAUGAAUGCUCGUGGAAUUCGCAGCCGCUCGUGGUCACCGUCGAACGUGCGUGCGCGAGGCAGCAGCGGUACACGAGGCAGAGCGUGCGCCACGGAGAGGGAGGAGAUCCAGAAGGUCCGGGGAGGUCCCGCGGCUACGGAGACGUGAACGCGUCCUCCGGCUCCGGCGCGGUGGGCUGCUGUUGCUGCAGGACGAGGAGGGAGCGCAGCGUGUCCCGGAGGCGGUUGGCGCGCCUCCGGUGGCGGAUGCGGCGGAGCACGGCGUCCUUCUCCAGCGGCCCCGCGCCGGGCCCGGGCCUGUGCAGGUACAGCCGGCUCGUCACCCGCACCGCCGCCGCCGCGUCCCCCUCGUCUUCUUGCGCCGCCGCCGGGGGCGGAGACGAAGGUGGGCUCUUGGACACCCUGGAGUCCAUGGCAAGAUCGAUCGGACUUCUUCUCGUCCUCUUCAGAGCUUUGUGUGCGGAGCUGAGUGAGUGAGUGAUGAAUGAAGGAGUGAGGGGAGUGUGAAAGGUGGCGAGGCAGGGGCCAUUUAUAGACGGUUUCGGGGAGCUCAAUUGUGAUUUUAGUACUCCGGGUUGCUGUUUACUACCUCCGUCCUCAUUUACAGGUCCUCUUUAUAGUUUGUGCUAAAUUUUGACUAAAGAUUUAACUAACAAAAUGUUAAUGCAUGUCAAGAAAAAUUAUUUCAUUGGAUUUAUAUUUGAACAUAGUUUUUAAAAAUAUAAUGUUUGAUGAUAUGCGUGAAUAUUUUGUUAGUUUAAUCUAUGAUCAAAAUUUGGCACGAAAUAUAAUGAGGACCAAUAAACCCGAACGGAGGUAGUAUUAUGGAAACAGGUAGCUGGAGGACAUGGUUUCACGUGUCAGCGCCGCCUGUUUGUUUUUGUUUUUGUUUUGUUUCUUUCCUCUCGCACGCACUGCUCACGCACAAAUGGUGAUGAGGGAUGAGUUGUGGAGCACAUUCAAACGACCGCUUUGCCCAAAUCAUUGCAAGUUAAUUAAUCUCAUGCACGAACAGAAUGCAACGAUUAGGUGUGUCGAUGACGACCCGAUUUUUUUUUAAAUAGUUUGUGUCAUAACUUUGCCGGUUUCGGUCUGAAAAUAUUAGCCCAGCCGCAGUUUCUAGAGAGAGGGAGAGAGGGAUGGUAAAAAAAAAAGAUUAGUAGCGCAAGUCCUCUGUAAUUGACUAGGAGUGACACUGAAAGGUUAGAAUCUGUUCUCCGUGAGACAACGACCAGUUGGGUAAGAACACAUUUCGGCUGCCACGCCAGGAAAACACCACCUUUGAUUCGGGCGACGUCACUUUACACUCACAGCUCGCCAUGCCAUUCCCAUGGCUGCCUGAUGAAGCUUGUACACUAGUCUUUGGUAAAUAAAAGACUUGCAGUAGUAUUAGUUUGGUCAAGCUAAUUAAUUUGGAGAUGCUUGUGAGCACUGAGCACGCAAGAACUAAGCUAAGCUAGAGCCACACAUAAAGAUUUCAGUUAAAGAGAUACUGGUAGUAGUAAAUUAAUUACUCCAGAAUCGAAUCAUGCAUGGUUGCAAUACAGUACUCCUAGUAGUAGCAUUUGUUGGGACCUGGACACGUAGCAAGGUAGCGCCGGAAAGCCACCGUCCAAACUUGGAUCUGCACGGUACUCAGAGCAUGGUUAAUAGUAUAGCCAACUGCUGGCUAUAAGCCAUUGCCAUGUCAUCUAUAGCCUAUCUUAUAGCCAAUAUGUACAAUAGUUGAUUAGAAGAGUGUACUACUUUUUUAUUAUAUGGCCCACCUUUCACUCUCAUAAAGUGCCUAGGAGCACGUGCUAGAGUUGGCUCUUCACCAAGAGCCCGCUUCCCUUCUCUCUCUUCUUCUCUUUCCUCCAAUUAAGCAAGAAUAUACUAGUUUAUUUCUUAUAGCCAGCUGACUCAGCUCUAUUGUAUUUGCUCUCAGAGUAGUAAUUAAGCAAGGUAAAUGCGUUUUGCCUCGGUUGGUCGGUGAGUGCAGUACGGCGCCUGCUGUCGCCGCAGUGAAACUCGCGGAAGACGACGCAGUAAAAUGGUGUCAGGUGCACGCAGCAGCACCAGCAGCAGCCUAUCCUAUCCCUUCUGACCGUGAGGCUCUGACUCUGAGUGUGCUACACAUGAUUCCCGCAAAAAAAAAGUGUGCUAUACAUGAAUGAAUGAACGAAUGAAUGCAUGCCACGUGUCACAUGCAUGCUCCUGAUGCCUUUUUUGCCCGUGGUGGGUUAGCCACCGACCAGAGUGGCGGCCAAGAGUUUUCAACUCAAAAUUUAAACUUUUUUAGCUUUCAGCCAAAAUCACUAAUUGAAAAAUACUUCUUUCAAAGAUCACUCCCACCUUUUCAUGUUGCGACAAAUGACGCAUUGCAUGCGCGCAACUUGUCGUAACUGUGAGUUUUUUCUUUUUUAAUCUAUUUAUUCAAAACGUUUUAUCUCUAAAACCCUGAGUCCAAAUCUUGAACCGUUUUCAUCAUUGAAUUUUCUCGCGUUGAAAUCUUCAAAACUAGAUUCAAUGUUGAUAGGUUUUGAUGAACCUUUUUUUCACGAAAAAACCGAACCAAGAGCACUUUCCUCCCUUUCCGGAAGCCAUUUCCGAGAGGCAUGGUUGUGCCUCUCGCGGAAGCAAAAGACAAAAAGAAAGAGAAAACGAGUUUCUUUUUUCCGUUUUCGAGAAUCACGGCCAUGCCUCUUCCGGAAACAAACCCAUGCCUCUCACGAAAUAAGAAAAAAAAAUAGAACGAGUUUUUUUCGUUUUCGAAAGCAUGGACGUGCCUCUCGCAAAAGCAAAACCGUGCCUCCCACGAAAAAAAGAAAAAGAGAAAACGUGUUUUUCUACGUUUCCGAGAGACAUGGUCGCAGAAGCAAAACCGUGCGUCUCACAAAAGAAAAAAAAACAUGUUUUUUCUCUUUUCCGAGAGGCACCGCCGUGUGUCUCGCGGAGGCAAAACCGUGUCUCUCACGAGAGAAAAAAAGAAAAAGAAGAAAAACACUUUUUUUUUGUUUUCGAGAGGCACGGUCGUACCUCUUGCGGAAGCAAAAAGGUGCCUUUUGCAGAAACAAAAUUGUGCUUCUUGAAAAAAAAGGAAAGCAGGUUUUUUGCACAAAAUUUUUUUUUUCAACUUUUUGUCAAAAAGCUAGAAAAGACCGUUGAAAAACCAAAAAAGUAAAAAAAACCCAUCUAAAAAACCAAAAAUGUGUUCGAACAAAUAAAAUAAAAAACAAGAUCCGGAGAAAGCGCCCAGAGCGCGACACGUGGCGGGCGCACUCUCAACCCACCUCAAGUGAUUGUUAGGAGGCUUUUAAAGGAGGGCUCGCCAACUAGUUGCUCUUAGUUUCAGCUCCUUUCAAACGGGCCGAGCCUUGGUGCUACACGGGCCUGGUAGUGUUGAAUUUACGGGCUUUUCACGUUUGUGGGGGAUGGUCAGAUACGAGUGAUGUUGCUCGGCCAGUGCUAUAGAGCACUAGCACAUCACACGGCCUGGCAGUGACGUUAGGAAUCACAGAAAUAUGCCCACUAAUGAUCAGUUUUCAGUUUGCGGUAUGCAAGAUUCGUGGAGGCACAGUUAAAAAAACCGAAAUAUGUAUGUGACAAUUGUGUGACAGAUUGCAAAACUAUCAUACGAUCUCAUCAAGCGAUCCCUUCGUCAAACCCAGCCACCCAGGCACCCACGAUCCCCACCUACAUAUCGCGUCGCUGCCCUGCGCAGAAUCUCGUGGUCGCCGGCCACGCCACCGCCCACGCCAGUCCGUGCCCCCAAGCUCGACACCCUUGCCAGCUCUCCAUGGGUCGAGGUCGUCCCUGUUGAUCCACUCUGCCGAGCGUUGCCACCGCCGUCAACGCGAGCAUAAAGUUUCUUUGUAGCUCGUCCUACAUGGAACCUCUUAUCUUCAGCCCUUCAACAUUGCUUUGAGAUCCGUACUCUUCAACUAACUUGCAACAAGCAGAUUUCUCUUUUUUGUUUCUCUAAAAUGAAAGAACAUAUGGACUUCAAACUUUCCAGAUCAAACAAACUUUACAACUUCAUUGUGUGAACAAACUUUCAGAUUUUUUGGACCAACAUAAAUAUACAAAAUGUGAUUUUUUUUAUUAAAAAAAUAAAUUUUAGCAUUUUAAAUGCAUGAAAAAAUCUGAAAGUUUUUUCCCACGUAGUAAUUAGAAUGUUUUGUUGUCCUGCAAAGUGUGAAGUUUAUACGUUUUUUCGUUUGAGAGAAACAAAAAUGACAAAUGUGCCUGCACGGAUCUUAAUGCCAAAAUGGAUGGCUAAAAUAAGGGGUACCGUGUAGCUCCAGCUACACAAAACCACACCAACGCGAGUCCCGCUACCACGCUCGCAUGCUUCCCCAUCUCAGCGAACUUCCUUCUCAGGCGGUCAUGAUGGGAAGGCGGAGGAGGGCCAUGGUGGGGCGGGCAGCGGUGCUCUUCCUUGAAGCAGGGCUAGAAGUGAGGUGGCGAGUGCGCGGCUCACGGCCGGGAAGGCGAGCGGCGGAAUCCGGUGCUCAGCCGUCGGCAGCCGGAGGGGCGGGCGAGUGGCGACGACGGCCGACAUGGGUGCUUCUGCUGCUGCGGCCACACGCGACAAGUGGUGGCAGAUAGCCUAACAAGCUGCUGCAUCGGGUGCGCGGCUCACGACCGGGAAGAUGAUGGGCGGCGGCGGCCGGUGCUCAGCCAGCAGCCGAAGAGGCCAGGGACGGUGGCCAACGCUGUUGCUGCUAGUGCUGCGGCGUCCACGCGUGAGUAGCUGUUGCGGCCACGGACCAAGAUCUAUUCAGCAAGCAUCAACUUUUUCGUGCUUGUUGUUUGAUUGAUCCAUUCAGCUGCAAGACUGCGACAUCUUUGUGUCGCGCACAUGUACCAAGAUCAGUAGCUGUUUGAUCCAUUCAGUUCCGGUUCAUGCGACUACUACUAAUGAUGAUGAUGAUGCUUUUUUACUAGUGUUAGUAGUAGCUUGAAGGAAAGAGCCUCCUGUUGAUGAAAGUAGAAUGAUGCUAGCAUCAAUUUUGAAGCAGCAGCAGCAGAUCUAGCAUCAAUUUUGGUCUCUCUUGAUGUAAAUAGAGUAUUCAGCUUCUCUUUGAUUGAAAUUGGAGACAACUACAAAUUUAACAUGAUAAAUCAUGGUUGUUAAAAAUAGUCUCACAAGAGGUGAAGAACCAAAUCCAUUGUCUAUUUCAUCUAUUUGUUCCCAAACCAACACAUACUUAGAUACAAACAUCGUGGUAUUUUGACCCAGGGAAAAAAGUUGGAAAAUAUACCCCGGUAAUUGUUGUGUAAAUAUCAUGGUAAUAUAAGCACAGAAGAAUUGGUAACUAACAUACAAAUAUCACGGUAAUUUUGGAUCCUAGGAAAUUGUUCUUGAAAACAUACCCCGGUAAAUUACGUAAAAAUAAUAUGGUAAUAUAUGAACAGCAUACCCGAAAUUACAUACAAACAAUGCGGUAACUUUGACUAAAGAAGGAAAAACAUUGUUGAAAAAGAUACCCGGUAACUUAUAUGAAAAUAGCAUGGUAAUAUACGAACCACCUAUCCAAUAACUUACUUAUAAACACCACGGUAACUUUAAUCAAGGAGGGAAAAUUAUUGAAAAACACCAAUUGAUAACUUAAGUGAAAAUAGCACGGUAAUAUACGAGCCACAUGCUCGAUAAGUUACUUAUAGAUAUCACGGUAACUUUGAUCAAAGGAGGAAACUGUUGAAAAACAUCCCCCGAUAAUUUAUGCGAAAAUAGCAUGGUGAUUAAACAAUCAUGUACUUGAUAAAUUACGUACAAAUACCAUGAUAACUUUGACCAAGGAGAAAGAAGUUUUUGGAAACAUAACCACCUCCCCUAAUAACUUGUGUGAUAAUAGCAUGGUAAUAUACGAAUUACAUACCUGAUAACUUAAGUACAAUCACUUCUAUAACUUUUGACCAAGGGGGAAAAUUUGCUGAAAAAUGUAACCCCGAUAACUUAUGUAUAAAUACCAUGUGAAUUACAUACUACAGGGGUGGUAACUUAUGUAGCCGAGGCAUGUUAACUUUUGACCCAGAAAAAGAAGUCGUCGGAACAUAUGUACCAAUAAGGGAUAUAGUUUCGAAGAUCUCGCGGAGACGAAUCUUUUAUGUGAAAACGGUUUUGCAUCAAAUCGAUAGUUUGAGCUAUAAAACAUUUUGAAUUUUGAGAAUAAGAAGAAUCAAGGAUGACAUCAGCUUUUUUGUGCUCUAGUAUACAUACAUAUGCAUGUGGAGAAGGUGUGAGAACAAUGUUUAUGCCUCCGGUAAUUUAUGUGAAAAUACCACGGUAACUUGCAUACUACAUGUGUGAUAACUUAUGUAGCCGAGGUGUGGUAACUUUUGAUCUGGAAAAAAAUUCGUCAAAACAUACCAACAUGGGAUCUAGUUUUGAAGAUCUCAUUGUGACGAGUCUUUUAUGUCAAAACGGUUUUUCCAUCAGACUGACGAUUUGAGCUACAAAACAUUUUGAAUUUUCGGAAUAAGGAGAAUCUAGGAUGAGAUCAGCUUUUUUGUCUUGUAGUGCAUGCAUGUAAUUAGAGUAAUGAGUGCACGUGAAAGAAAAAUGAUUCACUCUAAUGCAAUUACGCAUGUAAUUAAAGGAAAAGGAGGAGGUGUGUGGUAGUUUUAGCUAUGUGGCACACGUGUGCCAAAUAUCACGGUCCAUUUUUGUUUGUGGAGGCACAAUCUAUUGGAAUGUUCUAUGGCGAGAUGUGUAUGGGCCUUAGUGGACAAAGAGCUUCUGGAGCAUUUGAUGAGAACCUUGGAACCUUCGGCCAGAAAUUGGCUUAUUUAGUAUGAUGGAUGUGCUGAACCAUGAAGAAUUAACACGCCUAACAGUGACUUUGUGGGCUAUAUGGACUGCUAAAAGGAAGUUAAUUCAUGAAGGUAUUAACCAAAGUCCACUCUCAACUCAUCCUUUUGUGACCCAGUUCAUACCAGAGCUGGACCAGGUCAAUCACCCAAAUGUUGCACAUGUGAUGACAAGAGUACGAGAACCUGAAGGGCUACGGGCAUGGAUCGCGCACCACCUGAAUGCAUGGUAAAACAGAUGUUGAUGCCGGCGGUAUCGAUGGAUCGCAACAUUGGCGUUGCGGUAGUUUGCCGGAACUGAGAUGGGUCCUACAUUGGCUGGUCCGUGCUUGUGAUUACAGAAAGUUCCCGUUUAGCUCAGGCUACAAGGAACCUCUUAUCCUCAACACUCUUGUGAUUAGCGGCAUCCUUGACCUUGUGGCCGUUGAAUAUCACAUGCAAGGAAGUUUUGUAGCUCGUCGAAGACCUUGGAGUUCACCAUCUUCAUAUCGCCCCAUAUUGCAAAAGUGUUGUAAAUUAUAUUACAGAGGGUGCCGGAGGCAACUACGGGGGUGUCAUCAAAGAAAUUAAAGCAUGAGCGACUUCUUUUACUUCUUGUAAUUUUACUCAUGAACUUAGAAGCUUGAAUUUGAAGCUGAUAAAUUGGCCAGGUAUACCUUGUUAUUAGAUCAUGGAAGGCAUGUUUUGUUGGGGUCUCCUCAUGAUCCUACGAUCAUCCCUGUCAUCAUGAAUGAGUAAUAAAGCAUGUCCCAUUAUUCUAAAAAAUAUCACAGGGCCUGGCUCUGCCCUGGUCUCUCUACAAGAAAAAAAUAUCAGCGUUUUGCAUAAAAAACAUCAUGUAUUCUGAAGAAAAAAAAGCUUCACCAUCAGCACCGACCAUGUACUUCAACUAUGUGAAUCACCGGACAAUUACCAUCAAUGCCAUGUACAUUAAUCCUUUUUUGCAUUUGGAAAUGGUUGCAAACACGAUAAAAGGGGAUUUUAAAACAUGUUUGAGGUAUGACGUUCUUUUCCUAAAAUGAAGAUUCACAGAUUUAAAGGAAGAGAAAUGUGAAUCAUGUGAGAUCAUAAAAUAGUAUUUGUUUUGACAUGUUUGAGGUGCGAUAUUCUUUUCCUAAAAUGAAGAUUCAUAGAUUUAAAGGAAGAGAAAUGUGAAUCAUGUGAGGUCGUAAAAUAGUAUCUAUUUUGACAUGUUUGAGCUAUGACAUUCUUUCCCUAAAAUGAAGAUUCAUAUAUUUAAAGAAAGAGAAAAGACCCCUUAAAUUCUGCAUGCAGGCAUGACAGAGAUUUAUUCAGGACCAAUAUUUUUUUAACCUUUUUUUAGAUAAAUAUUUUGUUUACCUACUCCCUAACAAGUGUAGGUUAUCACAUUUUGGAACAUGUUUGAGCUGGACUGGACAUACUGGGCCAUGGCCCACCCUUCUCCCCAAGCAUUCUCUUAGGAUUUGAAUGGAGCUCUUGUUCGGCGCUUAAGGUGCCGCUAAUCGCUACUGGCGCUUGCAUCGCAUGCAUAGUGGGCCGGCCCAGGACAAAAAUAUCCUUCUCUUUGUAUUCGUACCGUAAAAAAGACGUGUAAUUCCUAGAAGGAGGGUUCGAACUCUGUCCGCUAAAGUCUAAAAAAGACGCUUAACUUUGUUGUAUAUUAUUAGGAAAAAAACACGAUUUGACCCUUCUUUUAGUACGACAUUAACAUGUAGGAGUAAUAUACACCCGGUUUAUUAUGAGUACUAUUUUAUGAUAAAAAUGAAAAAAUAAUUCACAAGAAAAAACAUGAACAUGAAGAAAGUUCAUAAACUUGAAAAGGUUCAUACAAAUUGGAAAAAGUUCGUGAAUUUGUGAAAAGUUCACGAAUUUGAGAACAUUUAAUCAUUUUUGAAAAACAAUUCAUUGAAUUUGAAUUUUUUUAUCAAUUUUGAAAAAAAGUUCAUCGAUUUUCAAAAAAAGUCCAUCAGUUUUGAAAAAGUUCAUCAAUUUAUAAAAGUAGAUCCAAUUAAAAAAAGUUCAUCAUUUUUUUAAAAAAAAUCAUCGAAUUGAAAAAUAUUCAUUGCAUUUGAAAAAAAAAGUUCAUCGAAUUUGGAAAAAAGUUUCAUCCAUUCUGAAAAAAGUUCAUCGGCUUAAAAAAACUUCAUCGAUCUCGAAGAAAAGUUUGUGAAUUUUUUUUAAAAAGUUCACGAAUUUGAAGAAAAAGUUCACACAUUUAGAAAAAAAACCAAACAUUCAAAGAAAAAGAAAAGGAAAAAAGUUGCCCGAAUUGAAGAGGAUAAAAGAGAGAAAAGAAGUGAGUUGGCACAGUCGGUCGAGAUGGCAUAGUGGUUACUUCUCUAUGCUCUGAACAAAGAGGUCUCUGGUUUGAACCUUGCAGCCGCACCCUUUUUUUUAGGGGUGCCGCACCCUUUUUUGUUGUUUAACAGAAAAGAAAGAAAAAGUUAAACGGCCUGGCCCAACUCGUAAGAAGGGGGGGUGUGUGUUUCAGAACAGGCAUCCGAAGCGCUAAAAAGGAUCUGCCAGAUUUGAUAUUGAUUUGUCCUGUUGGCAGCAAAUGGCCGGCUCAUGGCCCACUCUAUGUUAAACUGGCCCGUCCAUGUUUCAUGUCAAGCUCUGUCAGUGAUCUAUAGGUAUUCGCACACGAACACAUCACCGUGUACCCUCGAUGUCGGGGGUGAUGCACCGCAGCUCACGUUGAAGGAGACCCGCCGGAAGCGCGGUACGCAGGACAAUCCGAAGGGCGCUUUUGUAGACCGGAAACCCCACACGCCCGGGAGGGACCCCGUCAGGGCGCGCGGUGGCUAUGGGUUGCCCUAGGUCGACCUGAUCGCCCCUAGGGCCUCGUGGAUCGCCGCCCUGCAACUAGAAGAACGAACGAAGAACGAGGAAGAAGAAGAACAAGGGAGAGGGAUAAAGGUAAAGGUAAAAGAUGAUAGAUUGAUUGUUCGAUUAUGUGUUGUUCAAUUGGCCGUCACCCCUUAUAUAUAUAUGAGGCGGCUGGACUUCCCGUACAAGAAAAGGACUCAAAUCACGUCCAAAACAUCAAAUCAUAACCUAACUCGGACUACAAGGGUCGGAACUUCCGGUCAGCCCGGAACUUCCGGGAUAAAAUUACAUCAAGUUGCCCUUUUGCACAGCUCCUACAGGUUGCAUAUGACUUCGGAUCGUGAUGGUCCAAAAAGCAAAGUUGUAGAUCUUGCAAUGUAGAAAAAUUCCUUAGUUGAUCACUUUUUCCUCCGAGGUCAUCUUGAUGUCGAAACUGGCCCCGAAAAUCUGCAAAUGAUGUUAAAAUUCCAGUUUCUGGGGUGCACCGCGUGCAAACUUUCGGUUUAGCCCGGAACCUCCCCGGAAGUUUUGCCCGGAACUUCCGGGGCAGAUUUAUGCAGAACACUGUUUUGGCUCUAACGUUUGCAUACGAACUCUGAUUUAGACGUUUCUUAUAUCAAAAUUGAUCGUUUUGACGAGACGAAGACAAUAUAUGUAGAAACUUUUCUCAUAUGAGGCCAUCUUGGGGGCGUAAUCAGCCGAAUAGUGUUCUGAAUACAAAAUCUCAGUGCUUCAAACACAACUUCGGCCUUAGAGAUGCGAUCGGAUGGCUAUGGCCCAAAUAUCAAAGUUUCUCCUUUUGACGAUACGGAACUUUCUCACUUUGAGCACUUUUCCAUUUGAGGCCAUCUUAAUUAAUUUCUUGACCGUGCCAAAAUCUGGUGUCAACACAUGCCCCCUUGUUUUUCGGCAAAACUUGUGUGCCGAAAAAUAACUUGCACGAAGUUUGUUCUAAGCGCGAUGUCAACACUCCAUCGGCCAUUUUUUACGUGCUUUGGACGAUAAGUAUAUAUCGGCCAUUUAGAUUAGCAACAAAAGUGAAGCUAAUCGAGCAUAUAAUGAUUUGGUAAUACCCUUUCAUGAUGUAAGAAAUUAUAUUUUAUCCAUGGAUUAAAAUAAGCCCAUUGAGGGUAACCAACCAUACCUGAUGAAGAAUUCCAUGGCAUAGGCAUCAACGGCAUUGUUGAAGAAAAUGGAUAAUGUGUGGACCGAAGAUGUUGAAACCUUCGGCUUGGUCCUUCGUAGCUUUCACUCUUUUCCUUCUUCACCUUUGUCGCACUCCUUGUAAAGAAAGCUCGCACAUAAUUCUUAUUUUGAAUAUUUUCUUUGGGAACCCACUCCAUAUUUCUCUUUUCAAGUUCUUGUGCACUAAGCUUCUGCAACUCCUUCUUUUGCCAAUACGAUAAGCCGAGUGGGCAUCCCAGCUGCGAUUUUGUUUGAAGUAAUGGCGAUUCUUGUUUUACCUUGUUCACUCUCAACUUCUUUCCUUCAGAUUUGGCACUUGAUUGACUUGCCUCAUUGCCUUUUGUAGCCAAUGUCAACACUUUAAUUGGCUCUUUUUCAUUUGAGAUCAUAUCUGAAGUGGCACUCUUACGACCAUCUCUUUUGACGCGGUAGAUUUGCUCGACCACCUCCUUAUUCUUCCUUGUGCACCAGACCGAUUCUUUAUGAUUGAAACGGUCUUUGACGCGUGAUUGUUCAAAUAUUGAUCUCCAUGGAGCUGCAUAGUAUUGGUGAGAUGGUCUAGAAUAAGAUGGAGAAUGUGCCCUUGUAUCAUACCUGUCCCAUGAUGAAUAUGUAUCUAUAUGAGCAUAGGGAGGCAUCCACGGCAUUGGCAUUGGCGGCCCAAAAUAAGGAUAUGAAUAUGUUGCAUUAAAAUUAUCACUUUGCCAGUACCAAUCCUCAUAUUUGCGCCUUGGGGGUGAUCUUGGUUUCUUUGCAUGAUUUGGCUGAUAAGCAUUCUUAUCUUCACUCUUCUUUUGAUAUUUAUCCAAUAGUUCAGCGAAGGUGAUUUUUGAUCUCUUACACUUGCGCUUAUUUCGGCCUUUGUUUCCUUUGGUUGUGCUUGCACCAAUCAUUGGAUUUGCUUGUUGCCCCCCAGUCCUUGGCGUCUCCAUUGUAGCUUCGAUGGAAUUCUCGCCCUCAAAAUUAUGUUCAUUAUGCUCUUCAACAACUUUUUUACUUGAAAGCUUGACCUCAUCACCUGCAGUUUUACCUCCUGUUUAAAUGGAUCGGCUUGACGCAGCCGAUGCAAAAACUUUCUGCCAUCGAGACCAAUCGGAAUAGACUGGUCAUCUCUUGAUGUCUCAACAAAUUUCAGUCGUCCUUUAUGAAUGGCCGAUUUAACUAUUUGACGAAACAUAUUGCAAUCCUCAAAAUUAUGUUUGAACGAAUGAUGCAACCUACAAUACAUUCGUCCUUAAAUUGAUGGCUUGACAUGGUGAUCAAGAAUUCUUAUGUAAUUAUUUUUCAGCAAUAAAUUAAAUAUUUGGUCACACAUGCUUGAAUUGAAGGUAAACUUCUUGCUUUCUAGCCGAUCUUGCUGUGUGAACGGCUUUGAAGAUAAGCAAAUGAAUGGUUUAGAUUUAGAAUCUUCCCAUUCGGCUAUGCAUUGUGUUUUGCCCUCUAUCUCCGAUGUCUUUGGAUACAAUAUAAAAUUAACAUCGGAUUUCUCAAAAGAAUUUGACCUUGGCUUUAAAUUUCUGAAACAAAAAUAGUUAGAAUACACAUGUCUCAGUUGAGACCAAGUGCAAGCCAAGUAAGAAACAAACAAAGCUACCCAAUUAGAUAUGAAAUUUUGAUAAAGCAAUGGGGAAAACUUUGCCUGCAAUAAUAGGUCACUAUCGGUCUUUAUAAAUGGCACAAUAGAUUGACCGAUAUGUUCUAUAACAGUUUUAUUGCUAACAAGUAAAUUUCCCUUCGUCAUUGGUCUUUCAAAAUUACUUAUGAGAAUUUCUCUUAUAGAAGCAUCAACAAUAAAGUUGCGACCAAAUCGGAAGAUAGGUAAAUCACUUGCUAGACAUACCUUUUCAAACACGUUGGGAGAGCAUGAUGGUUGCGUUACCUGAAUGAUAGGUUGUUCCUCUUUCGAAUAGCUCCCCAACACCUUGUCAUCCUGUUUUUUCUAGAAUAGAUUCGGCAUGUGUAAUAUUUGAUUCGGUCUUUUCAAUAGCCGAAUUAACAUUGUUAUCCGAAUCACCAUCUUUUUUGAUAAUUCUAUCCACACCCAAUGCUUUCUCUUUUUGACAUAAUCUAGCUUGAAUUGCAGCAGAAUUAAUAGGCUUUCCCUCUUUUAUUAAUUCAUGUAGAACAACAUUGCAUUCAUCCCAAAAAGACGUAAGAUUUUUCUUAAUGACCCAAUCCGGAUAGAAUUGCCCCCCGACACUUUUAGACUCUUUUGGUAACGAGAUGUCACCAAAAUUCUGUAAUUUUGCAGGGGAAACAUUGUAUGCUACGAUACUAGGUGAAGACACAUGUGAUCCUAUAGAAUUUUCACUUAUUCGGCCAUUAGCAUGAAGGUGCGAAGCCGAAUUAUGAAUACCCAUAGUUGCAUAUGGUGCCAAACAAUUAGUAGCAUGAGGUGUAGCAUAUGAUGAUUGAGGGUAAUUGGCCGGAUAACUAGUAGUAGCAUGGCCAAUUCCCGCAUCCACCGGCAUGUUUUGAUUAACAUAUUGCAAGCUAGUUGCCGAUGAAUAAAAAGGUGAAGCAUUUUGUUGCAUACUAUCAAAAGUUCCUAUGUGAAGUGUUUCAACUUGAUUAACGGAACUCAUCAUGUUGUUCAUCGGCAUAUAGAUUUGUGGGGUUGCCGAUGCAUGGGAGUUGGGAUACAUAUGUUGCAUGUUGCUAAAAUUAUAUAAAGUUGAAGCAUGAAGAUUAUGUUGCAUUGGCUCUUGCACAUAAUUAGAUGCAUCAUUGAUAAAGCUAGGGCUAGCCGAUACAUUAUGCUCAUUAGAUGGUCUAGCAACAACAUAUGCAUUAUUUGCAUCUGCAUAUGUGAAUUGGGUAUUCAUAUUACCUUUGCAGAUUGCAAACCCUAGAUGACGAUCUAUUCGUAGCAAGAACGGGCCGGAGACCAUUCAAAGCUUCGUCCCCAACGGAGUCGCCAAAAAGUGUGUUCGCACACGAACACGUCACCGUGUACCCUUGAUGUCGGGGGUGAUGCACCGCAACUCACGUCGAAGGAGACCCGCCGGAAGCGCGGUACGCAUGACAAUUCGGCGGGCGCUUUUGUAGACCCGAAAUCCCACACGCCCGGGAGGGACCCCGUCAGGGCGCGCGGCGGCUAUGGGUUGCCCUAGGUCGACCUGAUCGCCCCUAGGGCCUCGUGGAUCGCUGCCCCGCAACUAGAAGAACGAACGAAGAACGAGGAAGAAGAAGAACAAGGGAGAGAGAUAAAGGUAAAGGUAAAAGAUGAUAGAUUGAUUGUUCGAUUGUGUGUUGUUCAAUCGGCCAUCACCCCUUACAUAUAUAUGAAGCGGCUGGACUUCCCGUACAAGAAAAGGACUCAAAUCACGUCCAAAACAUCAAAUCAUAACCUAACUCGGACUACAAGGGCCGGAACUUCCGGUCAGCCCGGAACUUCCGGGAUAAAAUUACAUCAAGUUGCCCUUUUGCACAGCUCCUACAGGUUGCAUAUGGCUUCGGAUCGUGAUGGUCCCAAAAGCAAAGUUGUAGAUCUUGCAAUGUAGAAAAAUUCCUUAGUUGAUCACUUUUUCAUCCGAGGUCAUCUUGAUGUCGAAACUGGCCCCGCAAAUCUGCAAAUAAUGUUAAAAUUCCAGUUUUCGGGGUGCACCGCGUGCAAACUUUUGGUUUAGCCCGGAACCUCCCCGGAAGUUUUGCCCGGAACUUCCGGGGCAGAUUUAUGCAGAACACUGUUUUGGCUUUAACUUUUGCAUACGAACUCCGAUUUAGACGUUUCUUAUAUCAAAAUCGAUCAUUUUGACGAUACGUAGACAAUAUGUGUAGAAACUUUUCUCAUAUGAGGCCAUCUUGGGGGCGUAAUCAGCCGAAUAGUGUUCUGAAUACAAAAUCUCAGUGCUUCAAACACAACUUCGGCCUUAGAGAUGCGAUCGGAUGGCUAUGACCCAAAUAUCAAAGUUUCUCCUUUUGACGAUACGAAACUUGCUCACUUUGAGCAUUUUUCCAUUUGAGGCCAUCUUAAUUAAGUUCUUGACCGUGGCAAAAUCUGGUGUCAACAAUAGGAUCUUGCAAUAACCGAUCAAUCCAUUGGCGAUCCCUAUUUGACGCCCGUGUGCGUCAGAAUGGCGUGGCUUCGCUGAAGCAUCGCCUCGCGACGCCAGCUUUUGGGCCGGCCCAUGGUUGUUUCGCAGUUGCAUCGCUGUUUUCUUCUCUUUUCUCUUUCUGUUUCUGUUUCUUUUUUUCUGUCCAUGUUUCUAUUUAUUUUCUUCUCCUUUUUCUUCUUCAUUUUUCCAUUUUAGUAUUUACUUUUUCUAUAUUAUAGAAAUUUCAUUGAGUGUUACGAAAAAUGUUCAUCAUACAUUAAGGAAGUGUUCACGUUUUAUUUUUACAAAAGUUCAUCAUGCAUUAUAAAAAUGUUCAUCGUAUGUUGGAAAUUGUUCAAUGAAUAUAUAAUCACUGUGUUUUUGAAUUUGUUAAGUGUAUAUUACACAAACGUUCAAUGUAUAUUAAAAUAUUGUUCAACUUAUAUUACGAAAUGUUCAAUGAGUUUCAUAAAUUGUUCAACGCAUAUAUUCAUAUAUUUUUCAAAAAUGUUCAUCGUAUAUCGAAAAAUCGUUCAUCUUAUUAUAAUAAAAAUGCAUCAUGUAUUAUUUUAAAUGUUCACCGUAUUUUAAGAAAAAUGUUCAUCGUAUAUUAAAAAAUGUUCAGUGCGUACUUUUCAAAAAAA